This 460-nucleotide ribosomal RNA is filed under the name uncultured bacterium. RNAcentral describes it as "partial 16S ribosomal RNA". It matches the Rfam family "Bacterial small subunit ribosomal RNA", at positions 338 to 795 of the family's 1533-position model. The record is from RNAcentral.
CCUACGGGUGGCAGCAGUGAGGAAUAUUGGUCAAUGGCCGGAAGGCUGAACCAGCCAUGCCGCGUGAAGGUCAGUGCUCUAUGGGCGUUAAACUUCUUUUGUGCGGGAGCAAUAAUGGUCACGUGUGGCCAGACGAGAGUACCGUACGAAUAAGCCUCGGCUAACUCCGUGCCAGCAGCCGCGGUCAUACGGGGGAUGCAAGCGUUAUCCGGAGUUAUUGGGUUUAAAGGGUGCGUAGGCUGGGAGGUAAGUCAGCGGGGAAAUGCCCCCGCUCAACGGGGUGACGUGCCAUUGAUACUGCCUUGCUGGAAUGCGGAUGCCGUGGGAGGAAUGUGUGGUGUAGCGGUGAAAUGCAUAGAUAUCGCACAGAACACCGAUUGCGAAGGCAUCACACGAAUCCGCGAUUGACGCUGAUGCACGAAAGCGUGGGUAUCAAACAGGAUUAGAUACCCGAGUAGUC